Rosa rugosa (rugosa rose) is the source of this 1323-nucleotide long non-coding RNA. RefSeq lists it as uncharacterized. NCBI's taxonomy places the organism in Eukaryota, Viridiplantae, Streptophyta, Magnoliopsida, Rosales, Rosaceae. The transcript is spliced from 6 exons. The record is from RefSeq and is a predicted model, not a curated record.
UUUCCUUUUCUCACCUCACCGUUUCGGGCCUAAUUCUCAUCUACCUCCAAUCUGCAACUCCAAUUCCUUAAAUCCACCGUCUCCGUCGAACAUCCUGAUCAUCGAUCAAGGCUGUUUUGUUGCAAUUGUAGCCGAAGCCGGCGAAUCAGAAGAAGCCCUUGAUCUCAGACCAAUUUAGACCCGAUCCUUCAAUGUCCAGUACUAGGCGGAGAGGAAUACCAGUUUGAAGAAUUUGUGCAGGUGGAUUCCCAACUUUGCUCCCCAGAAGCAGGAGGUCCAAAACAUCACAGCGCACUCCCACUGGUACUGCAUUGCUCAGACUUGUUUGGUUUGCAAUAGCGAUCCUAAGCUUGAUGUCAACUAUUCUGUAAGUAAGCUUUAAAUUUGUCAAUGACAAAUGAUUACUGAGAAAAGUGUUAAUAAAGAAAGACAAAUAUAUAUAAUCACACUUGUCCACCUACACUUGCGCACAUAAUCAAGCAGAAUGUGUAAGUAGAUCACAUUAUAUGCUGGAAGAAUUAACAUGACCUAAAAAUCUGGACUUUAAGUGGGUUAUUUUAUUCUAUUUGAUGUGCUACUGCUGGUCUUUGCAUAUUCUUCUCUCUCUUAUUUGCUUAUGCGCAAUGGCCCUCGAUUUCUGCACGCACCACAAACAUCCUCUUCUUGUGCUCGAUUCAAUACCGACCGUGGAAAACUGAAGUUAUCUUGAAGAAAGCAGUCAUUGCACUUGGCAAGAGUGUAGCUGGAAGUAUCAAAGAAUAAGUUCAGAGUAUGGCAUAGGAAUGGAGGUGUCAACAAGUGGUGACAUCUAUAGCUAUGAAAUCCUGCUAUUUGAGAUGCUGAUAGGCAAGAGAUUGAUAUAUGACGUGUUUAAAGACGGCCUGAACUUGCAUAAAUUUGUCAAAUAAGGCUUUGGCCUCCUUAUCCUAUUGGAUGGUGAUCAGAGCUGAGUCUUCUAGCCAUCCCAGCCAGCUUUUGAGCAAGCAGCACUUGGAGCCUAUUAUUGAAGAGGAGCUUUUGAACGAGCACAUGGACACUAUUGAAGAGGACAUGUAGAACAAGAAACUUUCAACUAUGUCAUUUUUUUUUUGUUUACUGAUAAUCUGAUAUUAGUGUGCUUUGUUUAGUGUACGACUGGCUUUGAUUAACCAACAAGAUGCUACCAGUCUACUUUGUUCUUGGGAUUUUAUGAUCUGUACCUAAAAUUAUGCCUGACCGAGAUGGCUAGAAGACUCGGCUCUGAUCAAGAUGCUACCAGCAGACUUUGUUUGUGGGAUUUUAUGAUUUUUACCAAUUUUGAAUGCUAUGGAAACUUUCUAAGUA